UCAAUGCUGGGAAAUACCCGAAGAGCCCUGGU
Molecule: non-coding RNA, 32 nt
Filed under: Homo sapiens (human)
Lineage: Eukaryota; Metazoa; Chordata; Mammalia; Primates; Hominidae
Source: RNAcentral